Molecule: long non-coding RNA, 430 nt
Organism: Varanus komodoensis (Komodo dragon)
Lineage: Eukaryota; Metazoa; Chordata; Lepidosauria; Squamata; Varanidae
Exons: 2
Source: RefSeq, a predicted model, not a curated record
CGCCCGGCCGCCACUUACCCAGCCGCCCUGCGGCCCCUUCCAGGCCGACGUCUCCACACCAGCGCCGCCGCAGGAAGGGGAGGCUGCGCUUCCCGGCGAGUCCGCGAUGGUCGCGCUGCCGCCAAGCCGCGGCUUAUUCCAUCUGGAUUCGUAUUACAGAGACUCACGUAAGGAGGAAAGGACAGAAUGGAGACACAAGGCCUUCCCAUUAUGGGUUCUCUGGCCCUCCCUCUGGAAGCACCCUUGGAAACAAGAAUUACAUUUUUGGAAGGAUUCCUGAGUCACUUUGCAGUCAAGAAAUGGGGUGGUAUGAAGCCUCUGAGAAGCCUCCAGUGCAUGUGGUGGGCAGGUACCAGGGCUUGCAAGUUCUAGGGAAUGGCUAGGAGCACUUUUAAACUCUGUUUAAAUUAAAGUCAAGUCUAGACCCAAA